Molecule: long non-coding RNA, 773 nt
Organism: Cicer arietinum (chickpea)
Lineage: Eukaryota; Viridiplantae; Streptophyta; Magnoliopsida; Fabales; Fabaceae
Source: RefSeq, a predicted model, not a curated record
UCGUAAAUUAAAAUCCAUUAUUUUUUUUAACUACGGCAGUGAUUGAGGGGCGGCUUGUUCCGUGAUAAACAAAUGACUCCAAAUAAGAACCUCAAGGCAGCCAAUCCUAAGAAAAUAAAUGAACCUGAAGCAGUAAGAGUAAGCAUUCAGGUGCUGGUGCUAUGACCUUUUUCCACCUUUUUCGAACCGAAUGAUUCAAUGCUCUCAGAAAGCGGAUCAAAGGCUUCUUAUUCAAUGAUUAAAUGAUCAAUACACCUCCUUCCUAUUUAUUAUCUUCAUCAAAAUCACCCUCAUCCAACUGCCACGUGAAUGAAGAAUCGAGUUGUUGAACCAUUAUUUAUUCACUUUCAACAUAGUCGCAAGGCCUUAUGAUCGUGGUAGUGGUGGUCUAAAACAGCUGUUCUAAAACAACAUAGAACAUUUCUACGAUCUAUGCAUCAAAAUCAUCGUCCUACACCCUUCGUUUAUAGUUUUGCCAACGUUCAUGAAAACUCAUCUCAAUCGGCUCUACGUGUCGCCGCGAUUGCCCAUAAACAUUGUUUCGAGUUUUCCAUGAACCACUGUCGAAUAAAUUAUUUUAGAUUGCUCCACUGUUGCUGAAACUUCUCCAACUUAUACCAUAUGAGAUCGUCAAACAAGUUAUUUCAGGUUAUCGAUUGGGGAUCCACGCUCUGAAUAGGUGAUACUGGGUGGAAGUGAUUUUUCGUAUUUUGUUGAGUUAUGAACAAUUUAGAUUUUUGUAAAUUUGAUUGAUCAAUUGUGUUAUUUUUAUC